AUUGAACGCUGGCGGCAGGCCUAACACAUGCAAGUCGAGCGGAUGAAGGGAGCUUGCUCCUGGAUUCAGCGGCGGACGGGUGAGUAAUGCCUAGGAAUCUGCCUGGUAGUGGGGGAUAACGUCCGGAAACGGGCGCUAAUACCGCCUACGUCCUGAGGGAGAAAGUGGGGGAUGUUCGGAACUCACGCUAUCAGAUGAGCCUAGGUCGGAUUAGCUAGUUGGUGGGGUAAAGGCCUACCAAGGCGACGAUCCGUAACUGGUCUGAGAGGAUGAUCAGUCACACUGGAACUGAGACACGGUCCAGACUCCUACGGGAGGCAGCAGUGGGGAAUAUUGGACAAUGGGCGAAAGCCUGAACCAGCCAUGCCGCGUGUGUGAAGAAGGUCUGCGGAUUGUAAAGCACUUUAAGUUGGGAGGAAGGGCAGUAAGUUUAUACCUGGCUGUUUUGACGUUCCAACAGAAUAAGCACCGGCUAACUUCGUG
This 483-nucleotide ribosomal RNA is filed under the name uncultured bacterium. RNAcentral's name for it is "partial 16S ribosomal RNA". It matches the Rfam family "Bacterial small subunit ribosomal RNA", at positions 30 to 507 of the family's 1533-position model. The record is from RNAcentral.